This 308-nucleotide long non-coding RNA is filed under the name Oryza sativa (Asian cultivated rice). RNAcentral describes it as "long non-coding RNA (OSAT_LNC001249)". The record is from RNAcentral. Lineage: Eukaryota; Viridiplantae; Streptophyta; Magnoliopsida; Poales; Poaceae.
GCGGCGGGAAGGCCGGGCAGAAGGACCGGCUGGGGCAGGACAAGGGCGGCCACGCCAAGCUCGAGUGCCCUCUCUGCAAGACCACCGCCCCCGACAUCAAGUCCAUGCAGAUCCACCACGAGGCGCGCCACCCCAAGCUCCCCUUCGAGCCCGACAAGCUCAACAACCUCCACGGCGGCGGCGCCGGCGCCGCCGCCGCCGCCGGUGAGGCCGCCGCCUCCUCCUCCAAGCCCAAGCCCGGCGUCCGCGGCAGCCUCAAGAAGUAACCGCAAUCGAAUCCAUCAUCACCCGAAUCUGCUACUACUACC